Molecule: transfer RNA, 77 nt
Filed under: Micromonospora olivasterospora
Lineage: Bacteria; Bacillati; Actinomycetota; Actinomycetes; Micromonosporales; Micromonosporaceae
Description: tRNA-Leu
Rfam family: tRNA
About the family: Transfer RNA (tRNA) molecules are approximately 80 nucleotides in length. Their secondary structure includes four short double-helical elements and three loops (D, anti-codon, and T loops).
Source: RNAcentral
GCCCCUGUACUCCAACCGGGAGAGAGACGGAGCUCAAACCUCCGACAGUGUGGGUUCGAAUCCCACCGGGGGCACAA